UACGUAGGUGGCGAGCGUUAUCCGGAAUGAUUGGGCGUAAAGGGUGCGUAGGCGGCCUGCUAAGUCUGGAGUGAAAGGUACCGGCUCAGCCGGUACAGGCUCUGGAAACUGGCGGGCUAGAGAGCAGGAGAGGGCGGUGGAACUCCAUGUGUAGCGGUAAAAUGCGUAGAUAUAUGGAAGAACACCAGUGGCGAAGGCGGCCGCCUGGCCUGUUGGUACUGACGCUGAGGCACGAAAGCGUGGGGAGCAAAUAGG
This 255-nucleotide ribosomal RNA is filed under the name uncultured bacterium. RNAcentral describes it as "partial 16S ribosomal RNA". It matches the Rfam family "Bacterial small subunit ribosomal RNA", at positions 524 to 776 of the family's 1533-position model. The record is from RNAcentral.